RNAcentral lists this transfer RNA (72 nucleotides) under Prevotella sp. Its description in RNAcentral is "tRNA-Cys". It matches the Rfam family "tRNA". Rfam says of the family: Transfer RNA (tRNA) molecules are approximately 80 nucleotides in length. Their secondary structure includes four short double-helical elements and three loops (D, anti-codon, and T loops). Lineage: Bacteria; Pseudomonadati; Bacteroidota; Bacteroidia; Bacteroidales; Prevotellaceae. The record is from RNAcentral. RNAcentral also lists the same sequence under 4 other names.
GGUACCUUGAAUGAGCGGCUUAGUUACCGGUCUGCAAAACCGUGAAGGGCGGUUCGACUCCGCCAGGUACCU